RNAcentral lists this ribosomal RNA (460 nucleotides) under uncultured bacterium. Its description in RNAcentral is "partial 16S ribosomal RNA". It matches the Rfam family "Bacterial small subunit ribosomal RNA", at positions 338 to 795 of the family's 1533-position model. The record is from RNAcentral.
CCUACGGGUGACAGCAGUGAGGAAUAUUGGUCAAUGGACGAGAGUCUGAACCAGCCAAGUAGCGUGAAGGAUGACUGCCCUAUGGGUUGUAAACUUCUUUUGUCAGGGAGCAAUUGGUGCUACGUGUAGCGUUAUCGAGAGUACCUGAAGAAAAAGCAUCGGCUAACUCCGUGCCAGCAGCCGCGGUAAUACGGAGGAUGCGAGCGUUAUCCGGAUUUAUUGGGUUUAAGGGAGCGUAGAUGGGUUGUUAAGUCAGUUGUGAAAGUUUGCGGCUCAACCGUAAAAUUGCAAUUGAUACUGGCAGCCUUGAGUACAGUUGAGGUAGGCGGAAUUCGUGGUGUAGCGGUGAAAUGCUUAGAUAUCACGAAGAACUCCGAUUGCGAAGGCAGCUUACUAAACUGCCACUGACAUUGAUGCUCGAAAGUGUGGGUAUCAAACAGGAUUAGAUACCCCUGUAGUC